Molecule: ribosomal RNA, 202 nt
Filed under: uncultured bacterium
Lineage: Bacteria
Description: partial 16S ribosomal RNA
Rfam family: Bacterial small subunit ribosomal RNA
Source: RNAcentral
GACGUAGGAGGCGAGCGUUGUCCGGAUUCAUUGGGCGUAAAGAGCACGCAGGCGGUUUGGCAAGUCGGAUGUGAAAACCCGAAGCUCAACUUCGGGCCUGCAUCCGAAACUGCCCGACUAGAGGUAGGUAGGGGAGAUCGGAAUUCCUGGUGUAGCGGUGAAAUGCGCAGAAUAUCAGGAGGAACACCGGUGGCGAAGGGCG